CGCUUGGGGCAGCAGCAACAGCGGCGGCGGCGGCGGCGGCGGCAGCAGCAGCGGCGGCAG
Molecule: microRNA precursor, 60 nt
Filed under: Petromyzon marinus (sea lamprey)
Lineage: Eukaryota; Metazoa; Chordata; Hyperoartia; Petromyzontiformes; Petromyzontidae
Description: miRNA (ENSPMAG00000011807.1)
Source: RNAcentral